CCCUUAUAUGUUCUGGGCCGCACGCGCGCUACACUGAUGCAUUCAACGAGUUUCUUCCUGGUCCGAGAGGAAUGGGUAACCUUUUGAAAGUGCAUCGUGAUAGGGAUAGACUAUUGCAAUUAUUGGUCUUCAACGAGGAAUUCCUAGUAGACGUAGUUCAUCAGACUGCAUCGAUUACGUCCCUGCCCUUUGUACACACCGCCCGUCGCUCCUACCGAUUGAAUGCUCAGGUGAGCCAUUCGGACUUUCAUCAUGCUGGUUUCCAGUUUUGAUGAAGGAAAGUCUUGCGAACCUUAUCAUUUAGAGGAAGGAGAAGUCGUAACA
This 324-nucleotide ribosomal RNA is filed under the name uncultured eukaryote. RNAcentral describes it as "partial 18S ribosomal RNA". It matches the Rfam family "Eukaryotic small subunit ribosomal RNA", at positions 1470 to 1796 of the family's 1831-position model. The record is from RNAcentral.